CACAUGAAUAAAAAAUGAGGAAGUGUGUGCUUGCACGUUUUCAACAGCACAUUUUCAGGUGGUUUCCAACAGCCUCUGUCUCUAACCAGCUGUUUUCUCUGUUCCCUUCUCAUGGCUUCUGCAGCAAACAUGUUAUUCAGAAGAUUAACAUUUUGAUGAGGGAAAAUGGAAAGUCCCCAAACCACUUUUUUCCUGCAGCCUGCAUGACUGGCUGGGGAACAUAAGAUGUGCCUACUCGACAGCUUAGUGGAAAGGGGUAGAGCCAGCCAAUUUAUUUUCCUCUGACAGCUGAAAACCUCUAGUUUCUCUCCCUUUCCUGCCUUCCUUUCCUCUACUUCUGAUUGCAGGGGUCACUGCAGACUAGUUCCACCUGGUUGCAAGCAGCUGUGCUGUUAAUUACUUUAUUGGCCAUCGAAGACCCCAGCAGGUAAUAUUUUUGCUUGAUUUCCCAUCUCUUCUUUAUGUUCCUCCUUAUCUCUGCAGUGGGAACAACUUUCCCAAUGCAAGAGGUGGAUGCUUAAAAUAAUAAUGUAUUUAAUUGCAAAGGAAUGUUUGAAGGGAAACAAAGUGCACUGUUCUCAGACAUGCUUUGGUACUUCCAUUUAAUUACAGCCUGCAGGAAGGCAUUGCUUCAUCUACUGCCACUACAAAGCACCAUAGUCACAGGGUGGGAUUACUCUGUCCCCUGGAAAUGUCUGUUUUGUGUUGUCUUCCAUCUCCUUUUAUAGAGCCACAUUUUAUAGGGUUAUACUGUUAUAAAGUCAAAUAUUAUAGGCUUGUUAUAUGGAGAGGUUCAUGAAUUAUAGAAGAUGUAUGAUAUAAAAGCAGAUAUAAACCAAGAUUAUUACUUUGAGGCAUUCAUUCAUUUGAAUGGUUCUCAUAAAGCACGGUAAUGUCAGAGAUUGCACUAAACACACCUUCAUUGUGUGGGUAAUCCAAGCACCACCUUAAUUUUCUCCCCAGUUCUACUAUUUAGGUAGAAAAAUCUUGUACCAAUGAACAAAUACAUCCUCUCCAGUAAAGCAGGGGGUGGCUACCCUUGGCCUCCUGGUGGAAGAUAUCCAGAAACCAGUUAGGAGGCAAUAAGGACUUAAUUCUCCAGUAUUGUUCCUGUGGAUCCCCUGCAUUUAUCAGUUACAAGGAACAUAGGGAAAUGCUCCAAGCUAAAAUCAUGACAACACUAACAAUAGUCCCAGCACAUACCUUCCAGAUGAUUUUAUGGGAACCAGCACUUCAUGAAUAACCUACAGACAGAAAAUGAGAUCUCUUUCAAGAAAAGCAGAAUGCUGCCUCUAUUUUCCAAUUUCUCUGUUCUUUGGGGGCAAUGAACUGACACUGCAAUCAGUCAAUACCAAACAAAAGUAAGGUAUUGCUGCCAUGAUCCAGGAGGAGUCUUUCUGAGAAGUACUCCUUGUAACCAUUCCACCUAGAAGCGAGGGAGACAAAGCUACCACUGACUGCAGGAGUGAUCCUUAUGGAUGUGUCAUGGUUCUGUCGGGUCCAGACAUCUUUUGUGGGAUCUCAUUUAAGCUGUUUACAGCAUAGACACUUAUGUCUGGGCUCUUUAUCUAACUACCCUGAGAGGUCAAGGGAGACAAAAAGGCACUGACUAAUUCACUUAAACUCAAGGAGACACUUAAG
Corvus hawaiiensis (hawaiian crow) is the source of this 1641-nucleotide long non-coding RNA. RefSeq lists it as uncharacterized. NCBI's taxonomy places the organism in Eukaryota, Metazoa, Chordata, Aves, Passeriformes, Corvidae. The transcript has 4 exons. The record is from RefSeq and is a predicted model, not a curated record.